GUUGGGUAGGGGAGCGUUCUGUAAGCCUGUGAAGGUGUGUCGUGAGGCAUGCUGGAGGUAUCAGAAGUGCGAAUGCUGACAUAAGUAACGAUAAAGCGGGUGAAAAGCCCGCUCGCCGGAAGACCAAGGGUUCCUGUCCAACGUUAAUCGGGGCAGGGUGAGUCGACCCCUAAGGCGAGGCCGAAAGGCGUAGUCGAUGGGAAACGGGUUAAUAUUCCCGUACUUGGUGUUACUGCGAAGGGGGGACGGAGAAGGCUAUGUUGGCCGGGCGACGGUUGUCCCGGUUUAAGCGUGUAGGUGUGUGUUCCAGGUAAAUCCGGUUCACUUUAACACUGAGGCGUGACGACGAGGCACUACGGUGCUGAAGCAACAAAUGCCCUGCUUCCAGGAAAAGCCUCUAAGCAUCAGGUAACAUCAAAUCGUACCCCAAACCGACACAGGUGGUCAGGUAGAGAAUACCAAGGCGCUUGAGAGAACUCGGGUGAAGGAACUAGGCAAAAUGGUGCCGUAACUUCGGGAGAAGGCACGCUGACACGUAGGUGAAGUGAUUUACUCAUGGAGCUGAAGUCAGUCGAAG
Molecule: ribosomal RNA, 577 nt
Filed under: Salmonella enterica subsp. enterica serovar Heidelberg
Lineage: Bacteria; Pseudomonadati; Pseudomonadota; Gammaproteobacteria; Enterobacterales; Enterobacteriaceae
Description: bacterial LSU rRNA
Rfam family: Bacterial large subunit ribosomal RNA
Source: RNAcentral